Long non-coding RNA from Scaptodrosophila lebanonensis, 385 nucleotides. RefSeq lists it as uncharacterized. The transcript has 2 exons. NCBI's taxonomy places the organism in Eukaryota, Metazoa, Arthropoda, Insecta, Diptera, Drosophilidae. The record is from RefSeq and is a predicted model, not a curated record.
UUGCAGUUUGUAGCUGUUUGCUAGCCAGCCAGGAGCCAAAGGUGUUGAAAAACAAAUCAGCCACCAGCAGGGAGAACUGCAGAGUCAGCAGCCACGAGAAACGACGCAGUCAAAUGGUUCGUUUUGUUUGCACUUUGCUUUUUGUUGUGCACAUAUCCUUCGUCCUAGUGACGUCAAAGCCGCCCCCGCAGUCAUGCGCACUGACAAAGUAUUUUAAAAGCAGGCGAUAAAUUUAUCGAACAGGCUUCGAAAGAAAUUCAAACUUUGUACAACAACUAAACUGUAGUUAAUUAAUUUAAUGGAGAAUAUUCUUAUGUAACAAUAAGAAACACACAACUAUGUUUGUCAAAUAAAUUCGGCAAAGAACAUCUAUUUUUCCAACAAA